Chinchilla lanigera (long-tailed chinchilla) is the source of this 2560-nucleotide long non-coding RNA. The record is from Ensembl. Lineage: Eukaryota; Metazoa; Chordata; Mammalia; Rodentia; Chinchillidae.
GAAAGCAAAGAUAUCCUGUUAGUGGAUCUAAACUCUGAAAUCGACACCAAUCAAAAUUCUUUAAGAGAAAAUCCGUUCUUAACAAAUGGCAUCACCUCCUGCUCUCUUCCUCGACCAAAACCUCAGGCAUCCUUCUUGCCUGAAAAUGCCUUUUCUGCCAAUCUCAACUUCUUUCCCACACCUAAUCCUGAUCCUUUCCGUGAUGAUCCUUUUGCACAGCCAGACCAAUCGACACCCUCUUCGUUUGAUUCUCUCAAACCACCAGAUCAGAAGAAAGAGAAUUUGUGUAGUUUGUCUACUCCACUGAGUAAUGGGUCCCAAAACGGUGACGCUGAUUACUUUGGUCAACAAUUUGACCAGAUCUCUAACCGGACUGGCAAACAGGAAGCUCAGGCAGGCCCGUGGCCCUUUUCAAGUACGCAAAGCCAGCCAGCAGUGAGAACUCAAAAUGGGGUAUCUGAAAGAGAACAGAACGGCUUCCAUAUCAAAUCUUCCCCAAACCCUUUCGUGGGAAACCCUCCCACAGGACUCUGUGUACCGAAUGGCAUAAAGCAGGACUUGGAAAGCCCUGUCCAGUCCUCACCACAUGACUCCAUAGCUAUUAUCCCACCUCCACAAAGUACCAAACCGGGAAGAGGCAGAAGGACUGCUAAGUCUUCGGCAAAUGACUUGCUUGCAUCAGACAUCUUUGCUCCUCCCGUCUCAGAACCUCCAGGCCAGACAUCACCCACAGGACAAUCUGCAGCCCCACAGACCAACCCCUUGGAUCUCUUCAAAACAAGUGUUCCUACCCCAGGGGCACCUCUUGCGAGUCUAGGUGGUGUACCGGUGUCGCCCCCGCAAGCGGGACCGUGGAGCCCACCCAUUGUCUUUAACCAGUCCACGCCCAUGGUCCCGGGAGCCGUGAUGGGCGGCCAACCUGCCGCGUUCAGCCAGCCAGUUGUUUUUGGCACCAGCCCAGCCGUUCAGUGUUGGAGCCAGCCUUCAUCCUUUGUGACCUCAUCUUCUCCCUCAGCCCCUGCAGUCUGGGGUUCUUCUGCGUCUGUGGCACCCAGCUGUUGGCCAGCAGCGAGCUCACUGGGGAACCCUUUCCAGAGCAAUGUCUUUCCCCCACCACCUGCUCUGUCCUCUUCCAUGCUGCCCUCACUCGUGGUCAGUCCUCCUCAGCCACCUCCCAGAACUGCUCCGAAGGACAUCCCCAGCGAUGCCUUCACGGCCUUAGACCCGCUCGGGGAUACGGAAGUCAAGGAAGUGAAAGAAAUGUUUAAGGACUUCCAGUUGCGGCAGCCGCCUGCCGUGCCCUCGAGGAAGGGAGAGCAGCCUUCUUCUGGAACUUCCAGCGCCUUCUCCAGUUACUUCAACAGCAAGGUUGGCAUUCCCCAGGAGAAUGUGGACCAUGAUGAUUUUGAUGCUAAUCAACUGUUGAACAAGAUCAACAAGAUCAGCGAACCACCAAAGCCAGCUCCCAGACAAGGUGCCCUGUCAGUUACCAAAUCGACCAGCAAAGCCUUUGAGAACCCUUUCUCUAAAGAUUCCUUCGGCUCACCGCAACCCUCUGAACUUGGAAUGCUGACUGUCCAGAGGAACAAAAAGGGGACCAUCCUCAAGCUAAAGUUCAGAAGAGUAGUGAAUGUGAAGAAAAUCUGAACUCCAUUCAACAAUAAAGGGCCACGUUCUACAGAGCAGCACAUCAGAAAGCUAAAUGUGACUUUGCUCGACACACUGGUGCUUAUCCUUGGGGGAUGUCAUGCUGGGCCUUUAUCGAGUAACUGGAAAACUUUCUUGAAGCCAUGGUUUCAUACUUAGUAGGAAGAUAAAUGGGAGGGGAAAAGGUGGCGAACAAGUAUUUGGGGUUAUCAUCAAAAAUCUCAUGCCUGCAAUAUUUUUCUCCCAUAACCUUGGAAACUUUCCCAGUUCAUUGUCAGUCCUAUUGUUAGCACGGUUCUGAGGGAUUUGUUCUUGCUAAAAUGAUUUUGUUUCAAAUGUUAUCUCUUGACCCUUAAUGCUCAGGUUCUUGUGGGUGUUAAUCAACCACAUCCAAUGUUAUCUUUCCGGGGGAGAAAGAGGAUGACUGCUCAGGAUUUAAACAAGCUGGCCUUGGGAGCCUCUAUAGAUUAGCUUCAAGUAGUCCAAGCUGAAGUCCUGUGGUUUUGCGUUUAAUGAUAAUAGUUGAUUAUAUAUGGCAUAAUUUUUCUGUCUGGCGUCCUACUCAGUCAUAACCAGAGACUUGAAAUAGUACUUUAAAGGUCUAAAAACCUAAAAGUGCUAAACUGGAGGUAUCUAUUUCUAGGUAGUUGACUUUUUGAAAGUGAUGAUCAGCCAUGCAACUGUUUUGUAUAUACUUUCUCUUGCACUUUUCUGUAUGCAAAUUAAAGCUAUAAAUUUACUCAUUUCAAUAAACUGGAAUGGCAAAAUCUACGGUGUCACCACCAAUUUAUUCUGAUGUUUGACCUUUUCUUUGAGUUGACCGUUAGGGAGCAAAGCGUACCAGUGUACAGUAAGUAAAUGUGAGUUACAGUACAUUCCAGAUUAUCAAUAAAGAAGAGAAAGUGGGAAGCUA